UUGCCCUCUUAGUUUUAAAUCGGCAAUUGUUAGAUUUUUUAUGAGAAAACUAAUCUCUAUUUUUCUUUAAAUUUUCAUGAUUUUGUCUCCCUUUUCUGGCCAUCUUUGUUGCCGAUCAUUGGUGGCAAGCCUCUCGAUAGUGCUAUUAUCAACCUAGCCACCACCAGCCAUAGCCACAACUAGCAGGAGGCUUUUUGUUCUGGGAAAGAAGGGAAAAUUAAUCCCCUAUUUCACCA
Molecule: long non-coding RNA, 236 nt
Filed under: Elaeis guineensis (African oil palm)
Lineage: Eukaryota; Viridiplantae; Streptophyta; Magnoliopsida; Arecales; Arecaceae
Description: long non-coding RNA (EGUI_LNC039569)
Source: RNAcentral